AGGACGAACGCUGGCGGCGUGCUUAACACAUGCAAGUCGAGCGACGCUCCUCCUUCGGGAGGAUGACGGAGCGGCGAACGGGUGAGUAACACGUGGGCAACCUGCCCCUAGCUCUGGGAUAACCCCGGGAAAUCGGGACUAAUACCGGAUAUGAAGUCGGACGGCAUCGUCUGACUUGGAAAGUUUUUCGGCUAGGGAUGGGCCCGCGGCCUAUCAGCUUGUUGGUGGGGUAAUGGCCUACCAAGGCGACGACGGGUAGCCGGCCUGAGAGGGCGACCGGCCACACUGGGACUGAGACACGGCCCAGACUCCUACGGGAGGCAGCAGUGGGGAAUAUUGCACAAUGGGCGAAAGCCUGAUGCAGCGACGCCGCGUGAGGGAUGGACUGCCUUCGGGUUGUAAACCUCUUUCAGCAGGGACGAAGCGAAAGUGACGGUACCUGCAGAAGAAGCACCGGCAACUACGCGCCAGCAGCCGCGGUAA
Molecule: ribosomal RNA, 483 nt
Filed under: uncultured bacterium
Lineage: Bacteria
Description: SSU rRNA
Rfam family: Bacterial small subunit ribosomal RNA
Source: RNAcentral